GAUGAACGCUAGCUACAGGCCUAACACAUGCAAGUCGAGGGGAAACGGCAUUGAGUGCUUGCACUCUUUGGACGUCGACCGGCGCACGGGUGAGUAACGCGUAUCCAACCUUCCCAUUGCUGUGGGAUAACCUGCCGAAAGGCAGACUAAUACCGCAUAGUCUUCGUUGACGGCAUCAGAUAUGAAGUAAAGAUUUAUCGGUAAUGGAUGGGGAUGCGUCUGAUUAGCUUGUUGGCGGGGUAACGGCCCACCAAGGCGACGAUCAGUAGGGGUUCUGAGAGGAAGGUCCCCCACAUUGGAACUGAGACACGGUCCAAACUCCUACGGGAGGCAGCAGUGAGGAAUAUUGGUCAAUGGACGGAAGUCUGAACCAGCCAAGUAGCGUGCAGGAUGACGGCCCUAUGGGUUGUAAACUGCUUUUGUAUGGGGAUAAAGUUAGGGACGUGUCCCUAUUUGCAGGUACCAUACGAAUAAGGACCGGCUAAUUCCGUGCCAGCAGCCGCGGUAAUACGGAAGGUCCAGGCGUUAUCCGGAUUUAUUGGGUUUAAAGGGAGCGUAGGCUGGAGAUUAAGUGUGUUGUGAAAUGUAGACGCUCAACGUCUGAAUUGCAGCGCAUACUGGUUUCCUUGAGUACGCACAACGUUGGCGGAAUUCGUCGUGUAGCGGUGAAAUGCUUAGAUAUGACGAAGAACUCCGAUUGCGAAGGCAGCUGACGGGAGCGCAACUGACGCUUAAGCUCGAAGGUGCGGGUAUCGAACAGG
Molecule: ribosomal RNA, 761 nt
Filed under: Prevotella melaninogenica
Lineage: Bacteria; Pseudomonadati; Bacteroidota; Bacteroidia; Bacteroidales; Prevotellaceae
Description: bacterial SSU rRNA
Rfam family: Bacterial small subunit ribosomal RNA
Source: RNAcentral